GGAGUGAUCCUUCUGUUAGGUGAACACUUGCCGAAGCCUUAGCAGCCCGAAAGGGUAGCCCUCCACGACUGAGUAAAUACAGAGAGGUGCUUUGAAUGCUAGUCAGUCUCGAACUGGCGACACUGCCAAAUUGCGGGAACACCCUAAAGACCUUGACACCAAGCACCAUCGGAAACGGUGGUGUGGCCGAGCUAAUUGCCCUGGGUAUGGUAACAGUUCAAGGUAUGAGACUCCCCCCGCCAGGGGGGAAAAGAAGUCGAAAUGGGCAAUCCGCAGCCAAGUCCUACAGCCUUCCUCUUGUCGGGGAGGCCACGGACGCUGUUCACAGGCCAAAUGGUAGUGGGUGAACCUACCGGGUUCGCUUAAGAUAUGGUCGGUCUCUGGGCGAAAGCCUAGGGGUAAGUUUCACUGAAACCCUCCACAACGUUCCGUAGGUGAACCUGCGGAAGGAUCAUUA
RNAcentral lists this ribosomal RNA (457 nucleotides) under Fonsecaea monophora. Its description in RNAcentral is "partial 18S ribosomal RNA". The stretch from base 65 to 397 matches the Rfam family "Group I catalytic intron". From Rfam's summary of the family: Group I catalytic introns are large self-splicing ribozymes. They catalyse their own excision from mRNA, tRNA and rRNA precursors in a wide range of organisms. The record is from RNAcentral. Lineage: Eukaryota; Fungi; Ascomycota; Eurotiomycetes; Chaetothyriales; Herpotrichiellaceae.